Molecule: long non-coding RNA, 1181 nt
Organism: Trachymyrmex septentrionalis
Lineage: Eukaryota; Metazoa; Arthropoda; Insecta; Hymenoptera; Formicidae
Exons: 7
Source: RefSeq, a predicted model, not a curated record
GUGUGUGUUGAAUGAAAUGAAAUAUUUAUGGAUGGUAAUGAAGUAAUCUUCGAAGUCGGUCAAAAAGAACUCGAUGACUGGCACAAUACUCGCUCGUGACGGUAAACAUUGCGAUGUAUACUUUCUUCUUAGGAUCAAAGUAUGUUUUCAAAGAUUUUCCAACAAUUUAUGAAGUCAAAGAGAAAACUAGCGAUGUUGGCACAGUGGAUUCACUAUCUAAUUCUUUAGUUUUGUGGCACAUAACUUUUCAAUGCAUUUUUCAAUGUACGAUACUCCAAGAUUCCAUUGGGAGAAGAAUGGUAUGCAAAGGUUCUAAUCCUUUCACAUCCAAUUAAGUUAGUGAGAGCUUUAAAUAAGCUGCUUCAAAUUGAAAACCAUGAUCAGUUGUGACGGACAUAAGGAGCACUAAAUCUUCUCUCAAGCCCUUGACUGGUAUGUUACUGAAGCUACAUUGAACGCGUCUGAAACCCGGUCCAUCUAACAACACUGGCUACGAGCACGUGAAAAUUUCUUGGAUCUGCCGGGAAUCGAAUCAUGGUGGAAAGGAUAACCUGGAAUCGAGGGAAAUCUUCUGUCACGAUUCCUGUUAUCCUUGAGAAAUUCUAAACUAAAUAUCCAAGAAAAAGGAUUUCGGAAAUACCGAAAAGAUAUUUAGAAAUCGUUAAUUCCAUAUAAUAAUUCCACCAUAUAGUAUGGAGUGGUUUUCUCGCGGGAAAUUUAGAUUUCUUAUCAAUCAAGGCCAACGUUUUCAUCAUAGAACAAGGUAAAUUUUCAAUGAUAUCUGACACUGUUAUAAACAGUUCUUUAUCCAAAUGACGGAGAUUUGAGUUAAGCUUGACUGACUGAGUCAGAAUGGAUUUUAUAUGCAUAAAAUUCACUUUCUAAUUGAGCAAACUAGAGUUUUGGAUGUUUGUAUGCUAUAAUAUUGGAAGCUUAAUAAGGCGAAACUCAUUAAAAUUAAUUUGGCUUGGCUCAUCGAAUCGAUGGUAGUUCAAUGUUUCCGGAAUAUUAAUAGGAGUCUUGUCUACAGGCAUGAUGGGUACAUUCACAGAAAAAAUGCUGGAAUGGCUGGGUCUCCAAAAGAAUGCAUGGAUUUUUUUGCUAGUAAAUGACUAGUUUUCAAAUAAACUUUAUUGAAGAAAAAUGAUAAAACAUGUUGAUGUAAUGUAUUAUAAUUUGAU